RNAcentral lists this ribosomal RNA (274 nucleotides) under uncultured bacterium. Its description in RNAcentral is "partial 16S ribosomal RNA". It matches the Rfam family "Bacterial small subunit ribosomal RNA", at positions 523 to 796 of the family's 1533-position model. The record is from RNAcentral.
AUACGGAGGGUGCAAGCGUUAAUCGGAAUUACUGGGCGUAAAGCGCGCGCAGGCGGCUAUUUAAGUUGGAUGUGAAAGCCUACGGCUCAACCGUAGAACUGCAUCCAAAACUAUUUAGCUAGAGUGUGGGAGAGGAAGAUGGAAUUAGUUGUGUAGGGGUAAAAUCCGUAGAGAUAACUAGGAAUACCAAAAGCGAAGGCAAUCUUCUGGAACACUACUGACGCUGAGGCGCGAAAGCGUGGGGAGCAAACGGGAUUAGAUACCCUAGUAGUCC